UACGUAGGUGGCGAGCGUUGUCCGGAUUUACUGGGCGUAAAGAGCGCGCAGGCGGUCGAAUAAGUCGAAUGUGAAAGCCCCCGGCUCAACUGGGGAGGGUCAUUCGAUACUGCUCGACUUGAAGGCAGGAGAGGGAAGUGGAAUUCCCGGUGUAGUGGUGAAAUGCGUAGAUAUCGGGAGGAACACCAAUGGCUAACGCAGGCACCUGGGCCUUGACUGACGCUGAGGCGCGAAAGCUAGGGGAGCAAACAGG
RNAcentral lists this ribosomal RNA (253 nucleotides) under uncultured prokaryote. Its description in RNAcentral is "partial 16S ribosomal RNA". It matches the Rfam family "Bacterial small subunit ribosomal RNA", at positions 524 to 776 of the family's 1533-position model. The record is from RNAcentral.